AUUGAACGCUGGCGGCAGGCCUAACACAUGCAAGUCGAACGGUAGCACAGAGAGCUUGCUCUCGGGUGACGAGUGGCGGACGGGUGAGUAAUGUCUGGGAAACUGCCCGAUGGAGGGGGAUAACUACUGGAAACGGUAGCUAAUACCGCAUAAUGUCGCAAGACCAAAGAGGGGGACCUUCGGGCCUCUUGCCAUCGGACGUGCCCAGAUGGGAUUAGCUAGUUGGUGAGGUAAUGGCUCACCAAGGCGACGAUCCCUAGCUGGUCUGAGAGGAUGACCAGCCACACUGGAACUGAGACACGGUCCAGACUCCUACGGGAGGCAGCAGUGGGGAAUAUUGCACAAUGGGCGCAAGCCUGAUGCAGCCAUGCCGCGUGUGUGAAGAAGGCCUUCGGGUUGUAAAGCACUUUCAGCGGGGAGGAAGGCAAUACGGUUAAUAACCGUGUUGAUUGACGUUACCCGCAGAAGAAGCACCGGCUAACUCCGUG
Molecule: ribosomal RNA, 488 nt
Filed under: uncultured bacterium
Lineage: Bacteria
Description: partial 16S ribosomal RNA
Rfam family: Bacterial small subunit ribosomal RNA
Source: RNAcentral